AUGCAUAUAUGUGCAUUCACUGUUAAACAAUUUUGAAAUGGCUGCCGCUUAGUGGCAAUUGGGGGAAGGGUGACAUCCGCUAUUGCUUGCAAUGGCAAUUCUAGUUAUUUUUAUUCUUCCACACAUUUUGUCCACGCUAUUUCUCGGAAUUGAAUGGACCAAUGUUGAUGGAAUUAUACCACAAUGUGGAACACCAUGUGAAGUUGUGCAGCAGACUUUGGCAUGUGCAAGAUGGCCGCCGUUACCAUGGAAACAGAACAAAUGUAAAAAAUAUUUUUUUGGUUUUUGGUGAAUAAUUUGAAUAUUCCUGAACUGAAAAUCAUCAAAUUUUUAUAUAUUGUAGGUGUCCACCAUAUACAGGUUUGAGAUGAUUUUGGGAAUCUUUGGAACUACUAUAUUGCCAUGGAAACUAAAUAUGUUUAGCAUUAAACCCUAUGGGGAAAAUCUUAAAGUAGUAUUUAAACUCUUAAUAUGGUAUAUCCAACCAUUAAAACUUUAAUGGUAUGUUCCUUAUCAUGUGCCAAUGUGGUAGGUGUCUUUGGAAUUUUGGAAAUGGUCACCGUUACCAUGGAAACAGCAGAAAUGUCCAAAAAUUUCAAAUUGGUCCAAACUUUCUGAAAAUUGACAGACAUGUUAAGUGGCACAUCAAGAGUUGGUAUUCGACUUUGGAAUUUCCAAAAUGGCCGCCGUUUCCAUGGAAACAACACAAAAAUCAAAAAUUUCAAAAUGCUCCAAAAUUGAUGAAAUUUUACAACAACGUUGAUAGACAUCUGUAAAUGCGCUCUUUAAUUUUGGAAAUUUCAAAAUGGCUGCCUUUUCGCCUGGCAAUGGGGGGACGAGGGUGCCAUCCGUUAUUGCUAGCAAUUACAAAUCUAGUUAUUAUUAUUUUUCUUGCAACAAAUUUUGUCCAGGUGAUUUCUCGAAAUCCAAUGGACCAAUGUUGAUGGAACUCUACUAUAGUAAGGACCCCAAGGUGCAGAGUUGCAGGAAGCAUGGAAUGGUUCAAGAUGGCUACCGUUUCCAUGGAAACAGAAC
This 1035-nucleotide long non-coding RNA is filed under the name Mytilus galloprovincialis (Mediterranean mussel). The record is from RNAcentral. Lineage: Eukaryota; Metazoa; Mollusca; Bivalvia; Mytilida; Mytilidae.